GUGAGAGUUGUAGUCCCAAAACAUCUGGAGGGCCGAGUUUGCCUAUGCCUGCUCUCAUGGGACCCUAUGGUAAAGGGCAGAUAAAAAAUAAAAUCGAAUAAAAUCAAUCAAUAAUGAAAAUCAAAACUGUACCACAGCAUCUCCUAUGUUGCUAGAGGAAAUAAUUGGAUCUUUGCAGAAAGCUAAAGUCAUUACAAUAUCUUGCAACCUUUCAACAAACAUGUAGAAACUGGAUGUUCAGAAUCUUAGAAACUAAUGAAAUAGGGAGUUACAGUGUUCCCUUUAACUCAAUCAAUGGAAAGUUGCUUUAGCAUCUAUAGGUAGUAUUUCUUUAGGUUUAAAAUUGAGAUUGAUUCCACAAAUAUUGAUGUUCUGAGCAUAUUGGAUCCCACAGCACCUUCAUAGGAAGGAAUUGGCUAGUUCAAAUAGAUGACAGGACUGAGACAAUAAAUGGGUGAAGCCUCCCUUUAGGACUAUAUCAACUCAAACUAGAAGACAAAUGCUUGCACUUGGAUAGGAGUGGUAUUUAACUCUGAGAAGAGUCUCACUCAUUUUUAAAACAUCUGUGGCAACCUGUUGGAAGGGCUGCUGAGAUUUGGGCACUUACCACCAUAUGCGGUGGAGUCAUCAAAAGGUGCAAACAUUAUGGGUUGCGAUGUUCUCAAGAAAUGGAAACCAUUACCAAGCAGUCCAUAGGUAUGUUACCCCACUUAGCGUUAUUGACAUUUAUGUGGCUAAUGCAGGCCUAAACUGCAAAGAAUUGAAUGGGCCACUUUUUAAUGGCAGCACCUGUAGUGAAAACCCUGGCCUGAAAAACACUAGAAGGAAUUUAUUUAGACAAAUGGUAGGGACAGGUAUGGCAAAUGGUCAUCCUGGAAAAGUUGAACCAUGUUAUGAAGGUGUCUUGAGGGCAAAGUAAGCAUGAGAAAUAUUGGGUGGUUGGGCAACUUUAUUGUGUCCACAAAUCAUAGGGAACACGGGCAGCCAUUUUGCCUUUUUUCUGUUUAUGAAAUGGAUAAGUAAUGAAAACGCUGCAAAACAAUUGCAAAGCUUUAACACUGGUUUGGAGUGAAUCGGAGAAGGUUGGAUUUCUGGGUGUUAACUGGUUUGAUGUACCAAUUACUCUGUUUGGGUAGGUGCUGCAAAAUGUGGGGAUCGCACUGCAAAACACUGCAAAAGGACUGCAAAACAUUGGCGUUGGUUUGGAGAGGAUCCCAGAUUUCAAGGCUCAUAGUUGAUGAAGCUGUAUGGCAGUAUGUAUUUGCCUUGAGUGAACAAUACUGACUUCAAAAUAACCUGUAUCAAUAGUAUGGGGAACGUAGAAUGUGUCUUUUGAAUGAGGAACUUUAACUUUUAUUUCUCAGUGUCUCUCCAAACUAGAAAACAAUGGGAAAGGGAGAGGAAUGGUUGCCAUUGCCCUAAUUUUCAAGUGUGUGUGUGUGUGUGUGUGUUUGUAAAUUCCUCCCUUGGGCCUUCAGAAUGACAUUUGACUGCAUGAAAUAUAUGCAUAAAUGCUGAAUUAGCAUUUGUAAAAAAGGAUUUGUAAAAGGAGCCUCUGGAAACAUCUACAUUUCAAACUAAGAUAGACAGUGGCAGAAUUGUUGAAGAAGCUAUUGCAUUGUAAUCAUCUGUUAAUUAAGAAUAGUCACAAAACAGCUAUGAUUUCCAUUUAUUUAACAGCUUGAGACUAACUUCUUGCUAGCUUCAAUUGGAACAAUGUGUAAGUAAAAAAUGGCGACUGUUCAUUUGCUUCAUAAACAGGUCGAACAGUAGUGUGUGUGUGGUUGUAGUUGUUGUUUUUAUGAAAAAAACCCUGAAACAAAAACCCUGCUACAUGCAGUAGCUCUACGCUUGUUUGUCUGAGAGCCAAAGGCAUACUGAAUUUGUGACCACCUGAAAAGAAGUUUCCUUAGCAAUUACAGGCAUGUGAAAGUCAAAGCUUCCUUUCCUCCUCAUGUGACCUUUUCCCCAACCAGUUCAAUAGCAAUGAAUUCCAAGCACCCACGGCGUUCAUGAAUUGAUAAACAAUGCUUUGUCAAGUAGUCCAAGCAUUUCUGCCUUCAUUACUGUGAAAUUAGAGUUUUAUUCUCUCUCCUACACCCUUCCAGACUCUUAACAUGGUCCACAAGCGCAUUUUCUUUUGAAAUCAAAUAGCACCAAGCAUGCAAAUAUACGUGUGGGAAAUGUCCAAGCACGUGGGGCCUAAAAGUGCCAAACGGCUAGCUGGAUUGCGCCUCUGCUAUUUCUUAUCAAUCACUUGGCAUGUGUUCCAUCCUCUCCUGUGCAACAUUCAAAGUCAACAUAGGACUAAGCUGCUGGUGGAAUCUGUUUUGUCUUGCCUAUGCGAAGUGGAUAGAGCACAGCUGGUGCUGCAGUCGCUUUGACCCCUGUGCUUGUAAGUACAUACUCCACAGGGAAGAGGCGGUUGGUUGCUGAAGAAAUAGCAGUAACUAUGGUACUUUCAGGAGAGUGUUUCUCCUCCCACAACAGCAUUAAUAGUUAAAGGGUUUCAUGGUAGGACACUUGGGUCCUGCACUGCACUUCUUCGAUUUAAAUUUAACUUCUUUGCUUGAAAAGGCAACUCCAGUUCACAGCUUAACAGAAACAAAAUACAGGGCUGUGGGGGCAGUUUGGGGCUUUUAUUGGAGAUCCCUGCUAGAUAGAUAUUUAGAGCUCAGGCCCCACUGCACUAGACAUUUAAAGCAGUAUCCUACCACUUUAAAUGGACAUGGAUUCCCCUAGAGAAUCCUAGGACAUGUGGUGAAUUAAGACUGUUGAGACCCAGGCCACUAGGCUUUGUAAUAUUUAGUAAGCUGUGCUGGAGAAUGGCGUAUGAAAUAAGGAGCGUAGUAAUCACCUCCUGAGCUGUUUGCUUUACAUGCAAGGUGUGCUACACUUUAAAAAGGUACCGUAUUUUUCCGUGUAUAAGAUGAUUUUUUUUGCCUCCCAAUAAAGUCAAAAAUUGGGGGUUGUCUUAUACAUGGAUGGUGAAUGCACAGGAGCUCAGGUUCAGACUCUGGUGCAAGUAGCCUGGGCUUGGGUUCGAGCUCUGUCGCGGGCAGCCCAGGCUCAGGUUAGGCUUUAGGAUUUACAGAAGCAUUGGAGAGUGGGAUGGAGUCAGAGGAAGACCCUGCUGAGGUAAGGGUUGUCAUAUUCCAAAAAGUGAAAAUCUGGACACAAAAGUUGUUGAGAACAUGCUUGUAUGUGUGAAGGAUGACGUUGAUGUGUUGGGGUUUUUUGUGCUGAUAGUGCAGAAUGACACGUCUAUCUAUCAAUUGUCUGGUAGAAUUUAAUAACAUGUGACUCGUGUUCUUAAUGGAGAAACAUGCAACCCUCCUCUCUUCUAAGUCUGUAUUACUAAUAUCUAAAGAAACAGCUCACACAAAGCAGCCUCUUUCCCUGUCAUGUUUCUUUUAAAAGAGCUAUUGUUAAAGUGCUUCAUUCUGGAGUGCUUUGAUUGUUGUGUUAUGUACAGAACACUGUAAUUAAUUUAACAACAGGUUCUUUGAAGGUCAAAUUCCCACUUUGAAUAUCAAUGUGUCCAAUGUACUGAAUGCAUUUAGGGGCACUCUUUAUAUCUUGCACCUCUCUUAAAAUGUCUGAUACACACACACACACACUGGGUCACUUGUGGGGCAGUUGACCAGGGAUAUUCAGUUUUCUUAAAUGCAGUUUUCAUAUAUCACAAUGAUUUGCAAAGUUUUUCCUCACUGCACCAUCGCUGUGAAACACUUAGCGGAGGAUGAAUUCUAUUCACAAAUCAUGUAUAUAUGCAUGUGAGCUCAAGUCCACUGCCUACUUUGUAUUUGGGUGGUGACUUUUGGUGGCAAAUGUAUCAUCACCUCUUCAUCUCGUUGCUGCAAAGAAAAUAAGUAGCUUAUGGCAGCAGAUUUUAGUAAGUAGCAACUCAUGUUAAUUAAGGAAAGAAUAAAGCUUCUUUGACAUGGAAA
Non-coding RNA from Podarcis muralis (Common wall lizard), 3950 nucleotides. NCBI's taxonomy places the organism in Eukaryota, Metazoa, Chordata, Lepidosauria, Squamata, Lacertidae. The record is from RefSeq and is a predicted model, not a curated record.